AUUGAACGCUGGCGGCAGGCCUAACACAUGCAAGUCGAACGAGUGGCGGACGGGUGAGUAAUGUCUGGGAAACUGCCCGAUGGAGGGGGAUAACUACUGGAAACGGUAGCUAAUACCGCAUACCAUCGGAUGUGCCCAGAUGGGAUUAGCUGGUCGGUGGGGUAACGGCUCACCUAGGCGACGAUCCCUAGCUGGUCUGAGAGGAUGACCAGCCACACGGGAACUGAGAAACGGUCCAGACGCCGGCGGGAGGCAGCAGGGGGGAAUAUUGCACAAGGGGCGCAAGCCUGAUGCAGCCAUGCCGCGUGUAUGAAGAAGGCAUUCGGGUUGUAAAGUACUUUCAGCGAGGAGGCGUUACUCGCAGAAGAAGCACCGGCUAACUCCGUGCCAGCAGCCGCGGUAAUAC
This 406-nucleotide ribosomal RNA is filed under the name uncultured bacterium. Its description in RNAcentral is "partial 16S ribosomal RNA". It matches the Rfam family "Bacterial small subunit ribosomal RNA", at positions 29 to 526 of the family's 1533-position model. The record is from RNAcentral.